GAUGAAGAGUUCGAUCCUGGCUCAGGAUGAACACUGGCGGCGUGCUUAAUACAUGCAAGUCGAACGAAGAGUGUAGCAAUACUCUCUUAGUGGCGAAUGGGUGCGUAACACGUGGGUGACCUACCCCGAAGUGUGGAAUAACAGUUCGAAAGAACUGCUAAUACCGCAUGUGGUCCCGGGUUUUAGAAAACCGGGUCUAAAGCAGAAAUGCGCUUCGGGAGGGGCCUGCGGUCCAUCAGCUAGUUGGUAGGGUAAUGGCCUACCAAGGCAACGACGGAUAGGGGACCUGAGAGGGUGACCCCCCACACUGGCACUGAAACACGGGCCAGACGCCUACGGGUGGCAGCAGUAAGGAAUAUUGCCCAAUGGACGAAAGUCUGAGGCAGCAACGCCGCGUGCGCGAUGAAGGCCUUCGGGUCGUAAAGCGCUUUUAGGGAGGAUGAGGAAGGACAGUACUCCCAGAAUAAGGUACGGCUAACUACGUGCCAGCAGCCGCGGUAAAACGUAGGUACCGAGCGUUAUCCGGAUUCACUGGGCGUAAAGCGCGUGCAGGUGGUUUGGUAAGUCGGGCAUGAAAACUCUUGGCUCAACUGAGAGACGCUGUCCGAUACUGCCAGACUUGAGGGUGUGAGAGGGAGGUGGAAUUCCGCGUGUAGUGGUGAAAUGCGUAGAUAUGCGGAGGAACACCAGUGGCGAAGGCGGCCUCCUGGCACACUCCUGACACUCAGGUAUCGACCCCCUCGGUGCCGCAGCUAACGCGAUAAGUACUCCGCCUGGGGACUACGGCCGCAAGGCUAAAACUCAAAGGAAUUGACGGGGGCCCGCACAAGCAGCGGAGCGUGUGGUUUAAUUCGAGGCUACGCGAAGAACCUUACCCAGGUUUGACAUGCAAGUAGUAGUGAAGCGAAAGCGGAACGACCCUUCGGGGAGCUUGCACAGGUGAUGCAUGGCUGUCGUCAGCUCGUGCCGUGAGGUGUUUGGUUAAGUCCAGUAACGAGCGCAACCCUUAGGGUCAGUUACAAGUGUCUGGCCCGACUGCCGGUCUUAAGCCGGAGGAAGGUGGGGAUGACGUCAAGUCAGCAUGUCCUUUAUAUCUGGGGCUACACACACGCUACAAUGGGUAAUACAAUGGGUCGCCAACCCGCGAGGGGGAGCCAAUCCUAAAAAAUUACCCUCAGUUCAGAUCGCAGGCUGCAACUCGCCUGCGUGAAGUCGGAGUUGCUAGUAAACGCAGGACAGCUAUACUGCGUUGAAUACGUUCCCGGGGCUUGUACACACCGCCCGUCACGUCAUGGGAGCUGAUAACACCUGAAGCCGGUGGCCUAACUGCAAAGAGGGAGCCGUCGAAGGUGGGAUCGGUGACUGGGACGAAGUCGUAACAAGGUAGCUGUAGCGGAAGCUGCGGCUGGAUCACCUCCUGUCUAGGGAGU
Molecule: ribosomal RNA, 1430 nt
Filed under: Chloroflexota bacterium
Lineage: Bacteria; Bacillati; Chloroflexota
Description: bacterial SSU rRNA
Rfam family: Bacterial small subunit ribosomal RNA
Source: RNAcentral